UAGUCCGUGAAACAUCCCUCUUUCUUCUCAUUCUUCUCACUUCUGAUUCUUCAUCUAUUUUUUUGCUCUCUCUUUAAGCCUUUCAAUACACAGAGAAAGAAGAAGAAGAUCCAUGAAAAAGAUUGUCAUAGAUAGAGAAAGAAAUUCGAGAAAGAAACGACGGGAGAAGGAGAAAGAAGAUCCACCGGAUAACAACACCUACACAAGUUUCAUACAAGCACACCAUGUGUUUGAUAAAAUGUUCUUUGUAAAUCGUGUUCUUUGGUUGUAAAUUAUCAACGUUUGUUCUAUGAUUUUUGUUGAAGAAAUCAAGGUUUUGUUCUACAUGAGAGAAAGAAGAAGAUCCAUCAAAGAAGAAGAAGAACUACAUGGGUAUUUGAUUUUCUCUACAAUCAUCAUUAUUCUUCCUUCCAAGUAUUUGAUUUUUCUUUCUUUGUUAUUUUUCAAUUUUUGAAUCAGAAUGUAGAAAAUGGUUAUCAAACCUGAAUUUAGUUGUUGUUGUUCUUCUUUAUUUAUUUUAUUUUUCUGUUUUGUUUAUUUAUUUUACUCAUCACUUUCAUUUUCUAUAUGCACACCAUGUGUUUGAUUAAAUGUUGUUGUGGCUUCCCAUCAACAUUAGAAGCAAUGGUGCAAAAAGGUAGUCCAAAGAGAUGAUUUUAUUUUACCAUUUUCAUGGUAUAUUUACCUAACCAUUCAUUCUAUCUUUGGAAAAAAAUCUGCAAAUACUAGGUAAGGUUUAUUUCUCUCCCUUUCAUUCAUUCUUCUUUCCUUUGUCAUUUUAAACCUUGAAAAUUUAACUUUUCAUUUUUUUUGGGAAUGAAGCUUGCGCAAAUGAAACUAAAGAAGACAAGGAGGUUGUUUUUCAUAUGAAUUUUUGUUCAACAUUUAACCAAAGUUUGGUUUUAAUGCAGGUUUUUAUAUAAAUAUUUUCUCUAAUAUGAAAUUAACAUUUUUUUAUUUAUGUCUAUGAAGUUGAAUCUUGGUAGCUCUUCCAUAGAAAGUGAGUUACAAAAGGUAAAAUAUGAUUAUCUUUCUCAUAUCCAACUAUGAUACAUACAAGUUCUUGGUAGCUCUUCCUUUAUUGUGUCCUACUGAUCAUUUUUCUUACCUACAUCUUUAACUCAAAUGUUACCUUUUAAUGUUUAGUUAUGUCCUUAUAUUGAUUAUAAGUAUAGACACUGAUAUGGACACCGGAUUAAAAUCUAUGUUUUCACGCUACAAUCUUUCAUUGCCGUCGUUUACGGUAAAAAGUCUAAUUUUAAAUUUUUUCGUAAGUUUUACGACGAUUAAAAUAUGUGUUUUCUAGCUUUAACGCUUAAAAUCUAUGUUUUACGCUUACAAUCUUUCAUUGUCGUCGUUUACGAUAAAAAGGUCUGAUUUUUCAUCUUUUGGUAUGUUUUACGACGAUUAAAAUUAUAUUUUGAAACUCUGUUAUUAUUAUUACUACUCUUUUGAGACUGAUUAUUAUCAUUUUGGUCACUAAUUUCAUACUUGGACAAUACACUUGAUGAGUUACUUGGAAUGACCCUGAAAUUAUUCAUCUUGCAAAAAUGUGAAUAAGUGUUUUAACGCGCACAAUGCUUGCUUCACGUUGUUUUCUUCAUUGCGUUAGCAGAAGUUUUAUCAUCUAAUGAUAUCAAUGUUUUCUUCCAAUGCUCAUGUUUCUAAUUAUGGUAUAAUUGUUUGUUUCUUCCCAUUGUUUUUUAUCCUUUUUGUUUUUUUGCAAAUGAUGUUCUGGAAACAGCUCCAAAGAAAGAGGGCCAACUUCAACAAAGCAGCCACUUUAUCAACUAAGGAUAAAAGAAUCACUUCAACAAUGACUGCAAUUUCUCAGCCAAGCUUAAUGGAAAAAUGGAUCUCUUAAUGAAGUUCAUCGGGGUGAAACCUUCAUUGAGGAUCUCAAAGCUCAAUUCACUACAUCUCAAGUAAUACAUUGAUAUCCAUAUUUUCAACUAUGCUUGAUAUCCUCCAACUACUGGAUUGUGUUCAAAGAUGAUUGAUGAUUCUGCUGCUGGAACAAGUGUUGCAGAGAGUUCCAAGAUGAUUGUUGAUUCUGCUGUUGGAACAACUGAAGAUGAUAUCAUUAGCACUCAAGAGUUGUCUGUUACCGCUGAAUUAAACCCAACUUUGGCUGAAAUGAAAAUGAAAACUCCUGCAAAGAGGGGAAUAGAAGAUAAUGGGAAGCAAGAUGUUCUCUCAGCCAAACUGUGGUUAAAAUUCCCAAGAAAGAAAAAUUGGAUGUUGAAGUCUUUGAUGAUGAUGAACUGAUGAUAUCGCAGAGUUUGUCUUCUGGGACAGUACACUGGAUUAACCCAAAAAUUGUUACAAUGGAUUAAUAUUAUUAAUACAAACAAUUAAUAUUUUUCAGUGCCAAGAUUCAAGAACAACUACCUGUUGCAUAGAGUUCACGCAAAGACAUAGAAUUUAUUCAGGAACAAGUUGUGGCCAUUAAUGAUUCACUUCCAAUUCAGCUUUUACCCAAUCUGAUAUCGACAAGUUGGAUUGGCUAGAUGAUUCUAUUCUAUCCACACCAAAUGUAUCCGCUUCUGCCGAGAAUGACAUGUCUGCUUCUUCUCACAAAACACCUGCCAAAAGGAGUUCUGCUAAGCAGAUAUUAAUGGUGGUAUCUUUUGUUUAAUGUAUGAUAAAAUAUGCAAUUAUCUAACCAAGGAGGGAAUUAUUUGAUAAAAAAAAAAAUCAAGGAGGGAAUUAUCUUUCAAUUCAGUUUGCAACUUUGGUAAAUCAGGAGAUAUGCAAUUAUCCCAAAUGUCGGCAAUAUCGCAUAUUAAUGGUGAUAUAUUGAAUGUGUAAUGUAUGUUGCAAUAUCCUCCUAAAGUUAGUACAAAAAUUGGAACUGGAUGGAAAGAAUUUUGUAAAAUAGAAGGAUACAAACAUGGUGAUACCAUUAGGUUCAAAUUUGAUAAUAGACUUUCAUCCAAAUUGAUUCAUGUUCGCAAAAUCUAAUUGAAGUUACAUGAUUCUUUGUGAACAAAUGCCAAAUUCAAUUUUAGUUGAAUGUCGAA
This is a long non-coding RNA of Trifolium pratense (red clover), 3023 nucleotides long. RefSeq lists it as uncharacterized. The transcript has 11 exons. The record is from RefSeq and is a predicted model, not a curated record. NCBI's taxonomy places the organism in Eukaryota, Viridiplantae, Streptophyta, Magnoliopsida, Fabales, Fabaceae.